GCAAAAACAACUCAUGACAUGCCAAAAAUUGACCACAUGCCUUUAUUUAUAAACUAACAAAUUAUUAUGCUAACCCCAUUUCAAAGCCUCUACUAAAAGAUCAAAUAUAGUUAGACACAGGAAAUUCAACUUCAGAAAAGCUAAAGAUUACAUGUUAUUGUUCCUGACCUCUAUAGUUGGCAGAGUUGAUUGAGAGAGCAGAGCUGAUGCAGACAAUGUGAAGUCAAAUAAAGAGGGGAAAUGCUAGACCUGAUAAAGGGACAGCUUCAGUGUUUUGAAAACCUUACAUACCAAUGAUUCAAAGAUAUUCAUUCUACAUACUGGGUUUUGGAUUGUAAAAUAGCACCUGGGUAAGAUAGACAUGAUACAUCUAUCAAUAAAGAAACUCAAAGAAGAUAUGGAAGCAAUGGAUAUUAGUCCUUUAUACCAAGAGUUGCAAUCUUUCCUUUUAAUCAGGAAGACUCCGACUUCAUAGAUCAGACCCAAUUCUUCAGCUUUUCUCAUCCACACUGUGUUGGAAUCUGUAUUGUAUCUUAUCCAGUGGCUCUGGUCACAACAAAAGCAAAAAUGGUACAGUGAAGCCAGUCCCAAGCGCCUGAGUGUCUUCUCUCUCUUCAGUAUUCCUCUUUGAGAGUUUGGCAUUUCAUCUAUGCUAAUCAGAUCCAUCAUGCAUUGGCAG
This 679-nucleotide long non-coding RNA is filed under the name Homo sapiens (human). RNAcentral describes it as "HSALNT0284698". Lineage: Eukaryota; Metazoa; Chordata; Mammalia; Primates; Hominidae. The record is from RNAcentral.